Molecule: transfer RNA, 120 nt
Filed under: Roseibium aggregatum IAM 12614
Lineage: Bacteria; Pseudomonadati; Pseudomonadota; Alphaproteobacteria; Hyphomicrobiales; Stappiaceae
Description: Labrenzia aggregata IAM 12614 tRNA-Asn
Source: RNAcentral
CGAAGGCUGGCGCAAGCUGACCUUCCGCUGGGGCGUGUUCUUCUUCGUGCUUGCCGCGAUCAACGAGAUUGUCUGGCGCAGCUUCUCGACCGAUUUCUGGGUCAGCUUCAAGGUCUUCGG